This is a long non-coding RNA of Cyanistes caeruleus (blue tit), 934 nucleotides long. RefSeq lists it as uncharacterized. The record is from RefSeq and is a predicted model, not a curated record. Lineage: Eukaryota; Metazoa; Chordata; Aves; Passeriformes; Paridae.
UUUAGUGUUUAUUUCUCCUCCUGACGGGAGAGACAUCCCUGAGGAGCAACUGGAGAUGUUCAUAGUGUUCUGGGGGUGAUGUUCAGCUGCUGCUUCCUGAAAUCCCCCUGGACAUUGAAAACACCCCUGGAGCAGGGUGGGAUGAGGCCCUGGGGUGGAGAGAGGUUGGCACAGGUGGUGAUGGGGAAAAUGGGUUCACUUGGGCAGAAAAAGGGCUUUUUGCCAGAAAUUCUUCCCCCAUGGACUGGAGAUGCUGAGAAAAGCCACAGGGAGUGAUAACUGAGGUGAACAGCCUCCAAAAGGACUGGGAGUUGUGGCUGUGAGGUGUUCUGGGGACUCCCUAAUAGGGAGAGCUUGAAAUACAUGGUGAUUCCGUGUUCCUGCAGGAGCUGAUCCCUCGACUGGCACCUCCUUGGCUGAGCAUCCGUGCCCAGGGAUGGGGAGGGCACAUCCUCCGACCCCUGGGCUUGGCAGAACAACUCCUCAUUAACGAAAUGCAAGAAUUCCACUGUGAAAAUAGUUUCCACCCAGCAUGGAAAUGAGCUCAGCUCUGGAGCACGCUGGCCCUGACAGCUGGGGGUGUGCUGCUCAUUUGCAGUGGGGUGAUUGGGCUCAAACCAGAGAUCAGGUCACCCAUCAAGGGGGAUUUCCUCACUUUCAGUCCCUGUUUGAGGUUUCUCUUGCGGUUUCCAAUGGUAGGACCAAUAACUUCAUGGGAAUGUUAUCAGUGUAAGAAGUAGAAUGCUUUUCCUUCAAGAGACUCUCUGAUGAUGCCACCACAAAUCUCAGCAGCUCUGCUGGGACCAGAGCAGAAUUCUGGCCUGUUUAACCCCACUCACAUAAAACCAGAUUGAAAUCAAAUUGUUCUCCCAAUCUCUGCACACGGAUGUUGCAUUCCUGUAGGUUUGAGGUCGGCUGUUGCUGUCCACAUGAG